CUAGUUGGUAAGGUAACGGCUUACCAAGGCAACGAUGCAUAGCCGACCUGAGAGGGUGAUCGGCCACACUGGAACUGAGACACGGUCCAGACUCCUACGGGAGGCAGCAGUAGGGAAUCUUCCGCAAUGGGCGAAAGCCUGACGGAGCAACGCCGCGUGAGUGAUGAAGGUCUUCGGAUCGUAAAACUCUGUUAUUAGGGAAGAACAUAUGUGUAAGUAACUGUGCACAUCUUGACGGUACCUAAUCAGAAAGCCACGGCUAACUACGUGCCAGCAGCCGCGGUAAUACGUAGGUGGCAAGCGUUAUCCGGAAUUAUUGGGCGUAAAGCGCGCGUAGGCGGUUUUUUAAGUCUGAUGUGAAAG
RNAcentral lists this ribosomal RNA (363 nucleotides) under Staphylococcus aureus. RNAcentral describes it as "bacterial SSU rRNA". It matches the Rfam family "Bacterial small subunit ribosomal RNA", at positions 245 to 600 of the family's 1533-position model. Lineage: Bacteria; Bacillati; Bacillota; Bacilli; Caryophanales; Staphylococcaceae. The record is from RNAcentral.